Molecule: small nucleolar RNA, 107 nt
Filed under: Sorghum bicolor (sorghum)
Lineage: Eukaryota; Viridiplantae; Streptophyta; Magnoliopsida; Poales; Poaceae
Description: Plant small nucleolar RNA R71
Rfam family: Plant small nucleolar RNA R71
About the family: R71 is a member of the C/D box family of snoRNAs containing the C (UGAUGA) and D (CUGA) box motifs. Multiple nearly identical copies of this snoRNA have been identified in Arabidopsis, and it is thought to function as a 2'-O-ribose methylation guide for 18S ribosomal RNA.
Source: Rfam by way of RNAcentral
AUUCCAUGAUGGGGACAUUUUAGAAUGUAGUCUUGGAAGAGCUCCCGUGCUUCUAGAACAGAUUCAUCAUCUUGUUGCUAAAAACUUGUAAUUUUCCCACAGCGAGC